CGGGCCUUGCCCUCAGUAGCGGCGAGUGAGCGGCAAAAGCUCAAAUUUGAAAUCUGGCGUCUUUGGCGUCCGAGUUGUAAUUUGAAGAAGGUAUCUUUGGGCCCGGCUCUUGUCUAUGUUCCUUGGAACAGGACGUCACAGAGGGUGAGAAUCCCGUGCGAUGAGAUGACCCGGGUCUGUGUAAAGUUCCUUCGACGAGUCGAGUUGUUUGGGAAUGCAGCUCUAAGUGGGUGGUAAAUUCCAUCUAAAGCUAAAUAUUGGCGAGAGACCGAUAGCGAACAAGUACAGUGAUGGAAAGAUGAAAAGAACUUUGAAAAGAGAGUGAAAAAGUACGUGAAAUUGUUGAAAGGGAAGGGCUUGAGAUCAGACUUGGUAUUUUGCAUGUUGCUCUCUCGGGGGCGGCCGCUGCGGUUUACCGGGCCAGCAUCGGUUUGGAGCGGCAGGAUAAUGGCGGAGGAAUGUGGCACGGCUUCUGCUGUGUGUUAUAGCCUCUGACGAUGCUGCCAGCCUAGACCGAGGACUGCGGUUUUUUACCUAGGAUGUUGGCAUAAUGAUCUUAAGUCGCCCGUCUGAACCCCGGAACACAA
This 587-nucleotide ribosomal RNA is filed under the name Candida albicans. RNAcentral's name for it is "eukaryotic LSU rRNA". It matches the Rfam family "Eukaryotic large subunit ribosomal RNA", at positions 69 to 664 of the family's 3401-position model. The record is from RNAcentral. Lineage: Eukaryota; Fungi; Ascomycota; Pichiomycetes; Serinales; Debaryomycetaceae.